RNAcentral lists this transfer RNA (75 nucleotides) under Chromatiales bacterium. Its description in RNAcentral is "tRNA-Gln". It matches the Rfam family "tRNA". From Rfam's summary of the family: Transfer RNA (tRNA) molecules are approximately 80 nucleotides in length. Lineage: Bacteria; Pseudomonadati; Pseudomonadota; Gammaproteobacteria; Chromatiales. The record is from RNAcentral.
UGGGGCGUAGCCAAGCGGUAAGGCAGCGGGCUUUGAUCCCGCCAUUCGCAGGUUCGAAUCCUGCCGCCCCAGCCA